AUCAAUAUUUUAUUUGCACUUUAAUAGAUUUUAAAGUAUUUGAAAUAUUAAAUAUUUUAUGUUUGAUUAUAUAUGUUAUGAAUUGACAAAUUUCAUUUUUUUAAGGAAUAUUAUUUUGUUUUAUUUUAUUUAGCACGAGUGUCAUAAUAUUUUAAGGGUAAAAGGUAAAGUAGUUUUAAACCCCUUCCCUCUCAUUAUGAAC
RNAcentral lists this long non-coding RNA (202 nucleotides) under Lathyrus oleraceus (garden pea). RNAcentral's name for it is "Pisum sativum (pea) long non-coding RNA (PSAT_LNC041841)". The record is from RNAcentral. Lineage: Eukaryota; Viridiplantae; Streptophyta; Magnoliopsida; Fabales; Fabaceae.